AUACGGAGGGUGCAAGCGUUAAUCGGAAUUACUGGGCGUAAAGCGCUCGUAGGCGGUUUGUUAAGUCGGAUGUGAAAGCCCUGGGCUCAACCUGGGAACUGCAUUCGAUACUGGCAGGCUAGAGUAUAGUAGAGGCAAGUGGAAUUCCGGGUGUAGCGGUGAAAUGCGUAGAUAUCCGGAGGAACAUCAGUGGCGAAGGCGACUUGCUGGACUAAUACUGACGCUGAGGAGCGAAAGCGUGGGGAGCAAACGGGAUUAGAAACCCCGGUAGUCC
This 274-nucleotide ribosomal RNA is filed under the name uncultured bacterium. RNAcentral's name for it is "partial 16S ribosomal RNA". It matches the Rfam family "Bacterial small subunit ribosomal RNA", at positions 523 to 796 of the family's 1533-position model. The record is from RNAcentral.